CUACGGGGGGCUCCAGUGGGGAAUAUUGGACAAUGGGCGAAAGCCUGAUCCAGCAAUGCCGCGUGUGUGAAGAAGGCCUUCGGGUUGUAAAGCACUUUCAGCAAUGAAGAAGUAAACUUUAUUAAUACUAAAGUUUAUUGACGUUAAUUGCAGAAGAAGUACUGGCUAACUCUGUGCCAGCAGCCGCGGUAAUACAGAGAGUGCGAGCGUUAAUCGGAAUUAUUGGGCGUAAAGGGUGUGUAGGUGGUUAAAAAAGUUAGAUGUGAAAGACCUAAGCUUAACUUAGGAAUUGCAUUUAAAACCUUUUAACUAGAGUAUUGUAGGGGGAAGUAGAAUUUCCGGUGUAGCGGUGAGAUGCGUAGAUAUCGGAAGGAAUACCAGAGGCGAAGGCGACUUCCUGGACAAACACUGACACUGAGACACGAAAGCGUGGGGAGCAAACAGGAUUAGAUACCCCAGUAGUC
This 464-nucleotide ribosomal RNA is filed under the name uncultured bacterium. RNAcentral's name for it is "partial 16S ribosomal RNA". It matches the Rfam family "Bacterial small subunit ribosomal RNA", at positions 339 to 795 of the family's 1533-position model. The record is from RNAcentral.